Lagopus muta (rock ptarmigan) is the source of this 1321-nucleotide long non-coding RNA. RefSeq lists it as uncharacterized. The transcript is spliced from 4 exons. Lineage: Eukaryota; Metazoa; Chordata; Aves; Galliformes; Phasianidae. The record is from RefSeq and is a predicted model, not a curated record.
AUUUGUUUCAUUUUGUGUGAUACAGAUCUUCCCUUGAGUCAAGGACAGAAGAUAAAGGAGGAAAGUUUGACAUUUUGACUUCAGUCUGGAAUGCAGAUUGAAAAGGAUGCCAUUCAGAGGGACGUGGACAAGCUUUAGAUGUCGGCCCAUGCCAACCUCAUGAAGCUCAACAAGGCUAAGUGACAGUUUCAGAACAAACUGGGAUUUCUCUGAAAGCCAAAGGCCAAGAAAAAAGGAUUAAAUCACCAUAUUACAAAGCCAUAGUAUCUAGGUUGGAGGUCUUCAUGGAUUAAAAGGGGAUGUAUUUCCCCCCCUUGGAAGCAGGAAGCUUGUUGCUCUCAAUCACGUCAUGCUCUCUACAAGAUUAAGCACAGAACUCUCAACCCACGUACCCAAGGAGCACAAGUGCGUUGUUUUUUUUUCUAUUCCAUUACGGACUGUGUGAUCUUAGAGGUGCCAAAACCAAUUACUUUCCACACUAGUGACAAGUGGGACAUUGCAGAAGUGUAAGCGUAUAUGUAUUUAUAAGGCUUCCCUGGUUCGGGUACUGUGUAGACACUCAAUUGUCAGAAUCCAUUUCAGACCAGCUCUGAGCUGUAUUUCUGCCUGGAUCUCAUCCAUACAUUGGACGCAAAACUCCUUCAUUUUUGCUAGGACCUCUGUUGCUUGCUGCUCUCCCACAUUCCCCAGGAGUGUUUCCCAGCUGUUCAGAAACAAGGUACCACUUCCUGCUGAACUGACCUUGGUAAAAAAUAUCUUCUGAGAAAAAAUGAGUUGCUCAGCUCCAAUGAAUGCCACAGUCUGAAACUUUAUUGCAUUUAGGAAGUGGCAGGAUUUUGGAAGGAAAGUAUCUUUUGUUGGUGUGUGGUUGCAGCUUAAUGUGCUACGCCUGGAAAUAAAACACUGAGGGAUGAUUUCUUUCCACUGUCUCAUUGAGAAAGAUGAGAAUUUGAAAAAGCUAAAGACAAUACAGAGAUUAGGCUGCUGUUGUUUCAGCUCAGCAGCAGACGUUGAAGCUUUGGCUGGAAGCCCAUUGACAGGACCAGAUGUUUUAGUCUUGUGCUUCCUUUGCAAUGGGAAAUAAUGAAAAUCGAGCCGCAUAAAUGAAAGGGGAUUUUUUGGAGUUGUUUUUGUGUUGUUGUGAUUCAUAAGAAAAUCUAUUUUCUGUGGGUCCAGAACAGCAGAGCAGGAGCUUGUAAAGAAGCUGUUAAUGGAGUUUCACAAGGUGUCUUCACAUCUUGUUUUCAUUUCUCGGGUAUCAUCUUUAGUAGCUUUAGUAUCUUGAAAGACCUCCAGGAAACAAUUUUUCAAAGGCACGUGC